Molecule: ribosomal RNA, 460 nt
Filed under: uncultured bacterium
Lineage: Bacteria
Description: partial 16S ribosomal RNA
Rfam family: Bacterial small subunit ribosomal RNA
Source: RNAcentral
CCUACGGGGAGCAGCAGUGAGGAAUAUUGGUCAAUGGACGAGAGUCUGAACCAGCCAAGUAGCGUGAAGGAUGACUGCCCUAUGGGUUGUAAACUUCUUUUAUAUGGGAAUAAAAUGUUCCACGUGUGGGAUUUUGUAUGUACCAUAUGAAUAAGGAUCGGCUAACUCCGUGCCAGCAGCCGCGGUAAUACGGAGGAUCCGAGCGUUAUCCGGGUUUAUUGGGUUUAAAGGGAGCGUAGGUGGAGUGUUAAGUCAGUUGUGAAAGUUUGCGGCUCAACCGUAAAAUUGCAGUUGAAACUGGCAGUCUUGAGUACAGUAGAGGUGGGCGGAAUUCGUGGUGUAGCGGUGAAAUGCUUAGAUAUCACGAAGAACUCCGAUUGCGAAGGCAGUUCACUGGACUGCAACUGACACUGAGGCUCGAAAGUGUGGGUAUCAAACAGGAUUAGAUACCCUUGUAGUC